UGGCGGACGGGUGAGUAAUGUCUGGGAAACUACCUGAUGGAGGGGGAUAACUACUGGAAACGGUAGCUAAUACCGCAUAACGUCGCAAGACCAAAGAGGGGGACCUUAGGGCCUCUUGCCAUCGGAUGUGCCCAGAUGGGAUUAGCUAGUAGGUGGGGUAACGGCUCACCUAGGCGACGAUCCCUAGCUGGUCUGAGAGGAUGACCAGCCACACUGGAACUGAGACACGGUCCAG
This 235-nucleotide ribosomal RNA is filed under the name uncultured bacterium. RNAcentral describes it as "partial 16S ribosomal RNA". It matches the Rfam family "Bacterial small subunit ribosomal RNA", at positions 96 to 334 of the family's 1533-position model. The record is from RNAcentral.